Molecule: RNA transcript, 14231 nt
Organism: Peromyscus californicus insignis
Lineage: Eukaryota; Metazoa; Chordata; Mammalia; Rodentia; Cricetidae
Gene: Cetn3
Gene name: centrin 3
Exons: 8
Source: RefSeq, a predicted model, not a curated record
GCGGCCGGAACCUCCUGUUGGGUGGGCGGUCCCCGAGGCCGUGGAGGUUGGCGGCUGUUGAGCGGGUCUCGUGGAAAAGUCCUCGAGCGGACCAUCUCUGUCGGGAGAGAACAUGAGUUUAGCCUUGAGAAGUGAGCUUGUAGUAGACAAAACAAAGAGGAAAAAACGAAGAGAGCUCUCUGAAGAACAGAAGCAAGAAAUCAAAGACGCGUUUGAGCUCUUUGAUAGCGACAAAGACCACGCCAUAGAUUAUCAUGAAUUAAAGGUGGCAAUGAGAGCCUUGGGUUUUGAUGUGAAAAAAGCCGAUGUACUGAAGAUUCUUAAAGAUUAUGACAGAGAAGCCACAGGCAAAAUCACCUUUGAAGAUUUUAAUGAAGUUGUGACAGACUGGAUAUUGGAAAGAGAUCCACAUGAAGAAAUCCUGAAAGCAUUUAAACUAUUUGAUGAUGAUGAUUCAGGUAAAAUAAGCUUGAGGAAUUUGCGACGUGUUGCCAGAGAACUGGGUGAAAACAUGAGUGACGAAGAACUCCGGGCUAUGAUAGAAGAAUUUGAUAAGGAUGGUGAUGGAGAAAGAUGGAGUGAUGUCUUGCCAGAGGCCGGGCAAAGAUGAACACAGUCACCUAUGGAAGUGGUAGUGGGUAACUGUAUAAACACAUGCAGAAGAUUUGUCUUGGAAGUCUGUUCAGGCAACCCUCAUGGACACAGGGAGAAUAACAGCAAAAGUCUAAAUAGAAAACACUAAUUUUCACUCAGUGCUUGCACAGUAUUGUAUUUUUCAGAGUAUUUUGUGUACAUUACCUCAUGCGGUUGAGUAAGUCUGCUCUGAAGGAAGAUCGGAAAUAGAACUUUUUCACUGAUUAGGAAAUAAAGAAUCUUUAUUCUAAAUGAAAACUAGGUUCAGAAAAUCGAACUUUUUUUCUUUUCCCUUGUGUGGUUUCCAGUAAAAUAUAAAACAUUUGUCUCCUUUUCCCUUCUCUCAAAGAGGAAAAAAAAAAAGAAAAAGAGAAAGAAAAAGAAAAGAAAGGAAAACACAGAGAAAAACUAGGAAAGCCGCUUGCUACCCUAAACACGAGUUAUCAGGUUUUGAAGAACGCACAUUCCCCGGGUCAGAAGGUCUUGCUGGUGGCAGCUGGGCACGAGAAGAAGGGUAAUGGCAAACACUGUAGAGGACCCUGGAAAUGGACUGUUUCUGUUUUUCUUCGUUUGCUGCCUCAUCAGAUGGCAACUCACAUGCCUCGUUUUAGUCUGUCCCCGGCCCUGAGUCUAUUCCCUUCAUCUUUGGUUUCAUGCUCUGAGUUCCCCCUCCCCCAAUCUAAUGUCACUGUCACCUCUCCUCCAUCGUGGAGCACCAGGGUGCGCUUAAGCUGCUCAGUGGGCCCUUUCACAUCAUUCGUCGGGGAAUUCAUUUAGGAAAAUACAGCUAGGGAAAAGGGGAUUGGUGAGAGCCCUUGAAAUCCUGUGUGUCACCUGACGGUUACCUACUCCUGGAACACCCUCAGAUAUAAUCUGAAAAACUGAUGAUCGGCAUGUAGCUGCCUGUUUACCUGUAAGCGAAGAACAUACAAAAUGACUGAAGUGGUGGAAGUGGCUGUGUGAUAUGCUUUUAUGUUUUCUGAAUACAAAAUAGAAAUCUGAAUAUAAGAUAAUUUUUGACAGCUGCUGAUAACAUCUGAGAGAUAAUUUAAUUUGUCUGCAACUAAAGCAGCAGAAAUAAAUAAAUAAAUAAAGGAAACAGGAAGAGUCUCCGGUUUGUUUGAUGGACACCAGCCCAUGUGGAUGAGUGGUCUGAGGGAACACGGUACCUAGUUGGCAAGUUUCCUGAGGGAGCUGACCAUGGCUGCACUUCAAGGUUAUGUUUGUUGAAAAUAAGAAACACACACAAAUACGUCUCAUGAGGUUGAGGAUUCAUGGAGAACCUGACAUAGUACUCACAAACCAUCUUUGACUUGGAUAUUGGAGAGAAUUUUUAAGAAUUUCCUCAUGACACCUUUCUUGCCCUGUAGGUGACCAAGAAGUAUCAGUUUCAUUUAGAUUCCAAAGAAAAUGGAAAGCGGACCAGUUCUGUGAGAUGCUCAUUGUCUUGAGCUCAGACACAGAGGCUGCGUCUCUCAGUGGCGAUGUACUGUAUCCUUGCCCCAAACAAUCUUUUUCUAGCUCUGUAUAAAUUACCUGCCUGGCAAAAUGAGGAGUAAAGCUGCGAGCAAAAAUACACUUCUGUGGGUGUGAGUGUGUUCGUGGCCAAAUAGAGUUUGGACUUCUUCCAUUAGCAGGAAUGCCUGGUGGUAGUACUAACUUUAAAACCCGGGGCUGUCAACAAACAGAAGGCGCCUGGCUGAGCAGGAUCAGGCAAGAGGGGAGAGAUGGGAAAAACAGGCAGAGACUUCAAAGCAGUCACCCCUAAACCCCAAAAGGAAACACUUGGGACGGGAAACUUUUCUCAGGGUGAGGCUCAUCCUUUGUCUCCGUUUCACCAAAGACUCCACUCUCUGUCCUGUUCUCCUUCUUGGUUUAUCUGGAAAGUCCAGGCAGGAGGACUGGACCAUCAGAUUCCAGCGAAAAGGCUGGGAUCAUUGCCAAUAUUCUUGCCUCUCUUGAGAUCAUUGAGCACAUCCUGGGGUCCUCCCCUGGCUCCCCUGCUUUAUUCUUCAAUGGUGUCUUUCCUUCUUGGCUGUCUUUCUUUCUCAUCUUUCUCACAGCAGGUCUAGUCAUACAGGUGCUUGAUAUUAUGAACUGAAGCUUUUCUCAAGAAAAAAAAAAAAAAAAGCCAGACCUAAAUUGAAGCGUCUGCAAGGUGGAUUAGAACUUCACAAUUAUGGCCCGUUGGAGUGCUACAGAUUAAGUGCCGAACUUACCUUGGAUUCUGUUUAGUCCCUGCUGUGGUCCUGUAUUACCCACCUCUAUAUCUGACACAGCGUCCUCUCAACUCUCAGUUUGAACUUCUUUAAAUGUAUUCAUUUAGCAGGUCACUAACUUCCACCAUCUCCAAAGCUUAGCAUGUCAGCUGACAGCAUAAGAAAACUAUAAUAGAGGUUUCUCCACCCUGCUAUAACCCAGCUACCUGCUGUCCUCCAGAGUAUUUGGUAAAGACACUCAACUAUGACUUUCUUUUGUCCUAUGACUAUAAAAAGUCCAUGUAGCUUCCACAUCAGAACGUGCCAUUCGGGGAAGCGGAGGCUGUGGUCUCCGAUAGCCCAGGAAUUAAGGCCAACAACUGACAAGGGGGACCUCAUGAAAGUAAAAAGCUGCUGCCCAGCAGAGGGAAACCAUCAGUUCAGUGAAGAGGAAGCCCACAGAAUGGGAGGCAACACUGUCUAGUUAUACAACCGGUAGAGGAGUAAUAUCCGGAGGUAUGAAGAACUCCAAUAAUGGAGUCAAGAAAACAAAUGGCCCAAUUAAAAAUGCACAACUGAUGUGAACAGAGAGUUCUCAAAAGGAGAAAUAAAAACAACUAACCAAUUAUCACAUAGUAUUCAUUAUCCUUAGUUAUCAUGGAAAUGCUAAUUAAAAUUACUUUGAAAUUUCAUGCUACCACAUGAGAAUAACUAAGGUCAAGAAAACACCUGAAGACAAAUGCUGGUGAAGGCGAGUGGGAAGGGGAGCCUUCAUUCGUGGUCGGUGGGAUUGUAAGCUGGUGAAGGCGAGUGGGAAGGGGAGCCUUCAUUCAUGGUUGGUGGGAUUGUAAACUGGUGAAGGCGAGUGGAAAGGGGAGCCUUCAUUCGUGGUCGGUGGGAUUGUAAGCUGGUGGAGGCAAGUGGAAAGGGGAGCCUUCAUUCAUGGUUGGUGGGAUUGUAAACUGGUGAAGGCGAGUGGGAAGGGGAGCCUCCAUUCAUGGUCGAUGGGAUUGUAAGCUGGUGAAGGCGAGUGGGAAGGGGAGCCUUCAUUCAUGGUCGAUGGGAUUGUAAGCUGGUGAAGGCGAGUGGGAAGGGGAGCCUUCACUCAUGGUUGGUGGGAUUGUAAGCUGGUGGAGGCGAGUGGGAAGGGGAGCCUCCAUUCAUGGUUGGUGGGAUUGUAAGCUGGUGAAGGCGAGUGGAAAGGGGAACCUUCAUUCAUGGUUGGUGGGAUGGUAAACUGGUGAAGGCGAGUGGGAAGGGGAGCCUUCAUUCAUGGUUGGUGGGAUUGUAAACUGGUGAAGGCGAGUGGAAAGGGGAACCUUCAUUCAUGGUUGGUGGGAUUGUAAACUGGUGGAGGUGAGUGGGAAGGGGAGCCUUCAUUCAUGGUCGAUGGGAUUGUAAGCUGGUGAAGGCGAGUGGGAAGGGGAGCCUUCACUCAUGGUUGGUGGGAUUGUAAGCUGGUGGAGGCGAGUGGGAAGGGGAGCCUCCAUUCAUGGUUGGUGGGAUUGUAAGCUGGUGAAGGCGAGUGGAAAGGGGAGCCUUCAUUCAUGGUCGGUGGGAUUGUAAGCUGGUGAAGGCGAGUGGGAAGGGGAGCCUUCAUUCAUGGUCGAUGGAAUUGUAAGCUGGUGAAGGCGAGUGGGAAGGGGAGCCUUCAUUCAUGGUCGAUGGAAUUGUAAGCUGGUGAAGGCGAGUGGGAAGGGGAGCCUUCACUCAUGGUUGGUGGGAUUGUAAGCUGGUGAAGGCGAGUGGGAAGGGGAGCCUUCAUUUGUGGUUGGUGGGAUUGUAAGCUGGUGCAGUCACUCUGGGCAGCAGUGUGGAGAAGUCUCAGAAAGCUAAAAAAUGAAAUGAAAUUCUACCCCAUGACCCAACUAUACCACCCCUUGUCAUCUCCGCAAAGCUCUCAACAUCCUGCCCCACAGAUCCUUGCUCUGUCAUGUUCACUGACGCUCUGUUCAUCACUGCUAGAAACUGGAAACAAUAUAAAUGUCCUUCAGCUGAUGAAUGGGUGAUGAAAAUAUGGUAUGUACACACCAUGGAAUACUAUUUAGAUCUAAAGAAAAAUAAAAUAAUGAAAUUUGCAGGUAUAUGGAUGCUCCCAGAAAGACUAUACUGAGCGAGGUAACCCAGCCUCAAAAAGACACAUGCCACGUGUUCUCUCUUAUUUUUGGAUCAGUAUCUUUUUUUGGGGGGGGUGGUUGAGACAGGGUUUCUUUGUGUAGCUUUGUGCCUUUCCUGGAACUCACUCUGUAGCCCAGGCUGGCCUUGAACUCACAGAGUCCGCCUUCCUCUGUCUCCUGAGUGCUGAGAUUAAAGGCGUGUGCCACCGCCGCCGCCGCCGCCGCCGCCGCCACCACCACCACCACCACCACCGCCCGGCUGGAUCUAUAUCUUUAAGCUAUAUCCUGGAGUAACCACUGACUCCAGGACACUGGAAGGGAGUUGUGAGAGGAGCGAGAGGGGUAGAACUCUAGAAAGAUGGAUAGUAGGACCGAGGUACUACGAAAGGGGAAAUGGAACACUUUGGUGUGCUUUAACUAGGAAGGCAGCAGGGGGGAACUAUAGAGGGAGAGGCUGGGAGGAGGGAUGUAUAACACAAGAAUGUUUGAACAAGCCAUAGGGAGUCAGAUAUUUUAUGUUUACUUAAAGGACAUAAGGAAACUUGCAUUCAUAUAUGUAGCUAUCUAUAGUUAUAUAGUAUAGAUUAUUUCACUUGGAGUGACAAUGCCCCCCCCCAAAAAAAAACCACCAUAGAAUAUCUCACAAAACCCCCAGUGCCAGGCAUGGGAAACCUCAUUUAUAGUGGCUGGUCAGUGGAGUCCAAGCAACUCCCAAAACAAUACAGGCUAUAGCAGGUGGUUUGAUUAACCAAAGCAAGUGGUUAGACCAAAAACACAUUCAUACAGGCAACAUGAAAGGGACCGAGCAAGUUGAAUUCAUAAACUUAUUUGUAUAUGCAUAGUGACAUUAAUUAAAGAGUAAGCAGCCAUGAAUCUAAGAAGUGGGAAGUAUGGGAAGGAGGGUGUAAAUCACGUUAAUACAAUACUCACAUACAAAAUGCUCAAAAAUUAAACAUCUCAUGAAAAACAAAAUAUAAAAUAUUAAUAAAGUCUUGUUCUAAUAUAAUUCUCUCAAAACAAAAUGCAUUGUUUCCUAAUAAGUGAUGACUUUCUUAGUCAGUUUACAUAAUGUUUCUGUUCAGAUUUAAAGAUCAUAGUUAUUUAAUUCACUUUCAAAUUAGGUUUUUGUAAACAUAGGCUACUAAUAGGGUACACUUUGGAUAUCAUCUUGGUAGACCAUUUGUGUGGGUUUAGGUCAACUAAUUUUAAUCUACUGGGGUAUAUUUAUAAAUGGAAAUGCAAUUAGUUUUAAUCCUUAUGUAAGUGUCUCAUUUGCCAAUGUGAAAACUUAAGCGUUUGUCUAAUUAACAAACAGCAGUUUUUUUCUCUUAAUACUCAGCUACUGACCAGAGGAAUAGAUGGAUGACUUCAGAAUUGCAGAAGGAAAUACACAAGACCCAAGGCAAUAUAGUCAUUCUACUGAAGAAAUCAGAAACUAGGGCUGUAUUCUUGGUCUGCGUUGUUGGGUGUUGGACUUCAUCAAUCCUAGAUGUAGCCUAGGGAGCCAGGCAGCAUUUCUUAACAGUAUGCAAGCCUUUCAGCUGUCUCUCAAAUGUCCAUGUUGGCUUAGGGGACAAGACAUCCAAGCAAAGGGCAGAACCCUUAAUUCUCCUUCCUCCCACCAAGAUUAAUCUCUGCAUGGUUAUCAACAGUCACACAAAACCCCAGGACCUGCGAAUCCUGUUCGUGAGUGUGAGUGAUUAAGGUCCACACACCUGAUGGAUGCUGUGGAUUUCACUAGGUUCUGCGAGAUGCUGUGGAUUUCACUAGGUUCUGCGAGAUGCUGUGGAUUUCACUAGGUUCUGCGUUGGGGUUCUGCAGAGAAACUGACCAGUACAUUAAAGAGCCAUGUUCCCGCGGCAUCUCCUGAGUGUUAAGCAAACACUUGUGUAGAAACAGGUCACUCGCUGCGUAGGCUCCUCUCCUUCCUGUGAAGAUACACCAACCAUCCAUUUUCAAACUAGAUUCUGUCUUGAAAACUCAGUGGCCAGCUAUAAAGACGCCAAAUUAUAUGAUGUUUGAGAGAGGCUGUGGACCUACCUUGUGUGAUCAGGGUCUACCUCUGUCAUUUACCAGCUGUUAGCAUUGGACAAAUGACUUGUUCCUUUGUACCUUGGUCUCCAUGACGCCUAACACAGCUGGUAUCAGGAAGAUUAUGACAGCUUGGAUCUGGUGAAGUCUCGUGAUUGUUGGCCAUUAUUGUGUUACUUCACUUCAUCCCUCACUCAAGAGGGUGACCUGUGGCCUCACUUUAUGCCAAAUAUCUGUCAUACUUUUUUUUUUUUGUGGGGAUAUGCCAAGGAAACACUGUGCUUCACGUCUAUGAAUUUCUGGAUAUUUAAUGCAAAUGAAGUAACAACUCUGCGGGGUAGUAUCAUACUAUAAACCUCUCCUUUCCCUCCAGACAACUGCAGUGAGUUUCUAGCAUAUUUUGAGUCACAAGCCACUCACAGUGACCACCAGUUACUGCUGAUCUUAGCAAAGUUUCUGUUUUUUUUUUUGUUUUGUUUUGUUUUUGUUUUUAUAGUCCUCUGUUAAGGGGAGAGCCAAACUUACUUUUGAGCUGGUAGUUUGCUACGAUACCAUCACCUUAAGGCAUCUUCAUGUUAAAGCUGAUGGAUUCUGGGAGGAACAGUCACUUCAGUGUGGCUAGGCUGUCCAGUUCAUGGCCUAUCAAGUGAUUUCACAUAAAGUUAUGUCAAAACCCAGAUUAUGUUGAUACUUGUCCUGGUUUGCUGUGAUAAAGCCAUAACUCAAAGCAAUGUGGGGAGCAAAGGCUUUAUUUCACCUCACAGCUUGAAGUCCAUCAUUGAGGGAAGGGUCUCAAGCUGCAACUUAGAGGAGACGCUAGAUUACAGACAGGUAUCAUCACAUCCACCUUUUUCCCUUGGUGCUGGGGGUCUGCACUCAAGUCCUCCUGCUCGGUCAGCAAGCACUUUACCAACUGAGUCUUCUCCCAAGCCCCCUUUUCUUCACUGAGGCUUGUUUCUUAAGCUGUAAAAGCCGCAGAUUUUAUGUUUAGUUAGAUUAGAACUGACAACUAUGUUCAUGUAAAUAAGCACUGUCAAGAUACAAAGAAUGCCUACAUCUCUGCAACUUACCUUCUUCUUUUCCCUAGUUUCAUAAUUAAUAAAUCCUGUUUUCUUUUUACCCACCUGGCUCUAAGAGCAGAUACUAUCUUCUUUACACUCAAGUUCUGAAGUGGCUGACCUGCCCCAUGAAGCCCAGGGCCCCUCCAUGCCUUCUGUAGGACCCAUGGGUGGUCACAGAGGAGCCUUGGACCCUCCACACCUUCUAUAGGAUCCACGGGUGGUCACAGAGGAGCCUUGGACCCUCCACACCUUCUGUAGGAUCCACGGGUGGUCACAGAGGAGCCUUGGACCCUCCACACCUUCUAUAGGAUCCACGGGUGGUCACAGAGGAGCCUUGGACCCUCCAAGCCUUGUAUAGGAUCCAUGGGUGAUCACAGAGGCCUCUUUAACUUUUCAUAACUGCCAGAGAUUUUUUUACUCUAUGAAACUAUACUGAAGGCUCGUGGACACUAUCAACCAAGAACAACAAAGAUUGUCUUUGCGGGAAGUGAGUCUCACAAAUGAAGGAGACUCGCUUAACUGUGAACAGGUAGUGAUGCUCAGUCAAGCAAAGACGGUGUAAGGAAGGAGUUAACAGAUGGAUGAAAGUCCCCUGGAGAACGUGUUCUCACGACAAGAAAACCAGAAACAAAGCCACAAACCGAUGAGCAAAAGCAAACGACAACAGAUAAGUUUUGUAGAAAGUUUUUUUCUCCCUCUACUCGUCUCUCCCUAGAAUUCAGGAAAGAGGAAAAAAAUUCAAUUCUCUCAGGAAUCAGCUUUUGUUUUAGCUUUUUGAGACAGAGUCUAUUGGUGAAAUUAUUAAGGCCACUCCACGUAGUUAAAAGGGAGGUUUAUUUAGUGGCAUAACUUACAAAUGAAGGGAUAGGUAGGUUGCAGGGUCUGGGGAAGAUGUAGCGCAGUCCGACAGUGUUCUCUGGAGAACUCUGCUUGGUCUACCUCUAGUGUCCAGGGUCCAGGAACCAAGAGAAGGCAGCGCAUCCGGAUCUUGGGUCUUUAGAAUCCUCUCUUGGCCCUGCCUUGUAGGCGUGACAGUUACCGAAGCCUCAAUGGGGGUUGGAACUUCCAGAUCAAAGCUGGAAUGGCUACCCACUACAUCUCCCCCUUUUGUCUAAAUAAGAAAGUUCUAACUUAAUACAAGACUGUAUACAAAGGAAUGGUUAUCAAAUAUUGUCCAGGAAUAAUGAGGGAUAAUGACCUAGACAAGAUGGAACUACAAUCAAUGUGAACAAUAUUAAGCAAGAAACACAUACUAAAAUCCAGAGAAGUCUAGAGUGUAGGUAAAUGGUAUGUUACAAAGAUCAUUUUAAAAGGUGUCUUAUCCUAAAGAACCUGAAUCUAAUACUUAAUAUGUUCUAUCUAAGAUAUUAUAUUUAUUUAUUUAUUUUUCAAUUUUACUUUGGUGGUGGGGGAUGCUACAAGGGUGAAGGGCAGACAUGGAGGGACUGGGAAUGAGUGGGAUUGGGGUGCAUGACGGGAAAUUCCCAAAGAAUCAAUAAAAAAUUAUUUUAAAAAAACAUAAGGAAAGAAACCAGUAAAACAAACUUCAAAGAAUAAAGUGAGAUCAUCUGGUUAAAUUGGCAAAACCAAACCAAACAAAAGCCCAAGCAAACCAAAGUAAUUGGUCAGGAAAAAAAAUAAAGCCCUGACCUACUUUUUAAAUAGUAACAGUCAAUGCCUACAGGGUGCUGUGUAACUUCGUACUCUUAAGAGUAGAGUCAAGGAGCCAAACUCUCUUGUGUAGGCAGAAGUUUCAGGUGAGAAGCAGAAAGUCUCUGAUCUUGAAGAUGCACUUCUCAUAGAAGACGAUGAAAGACGUGGUAAAUGACUGAAGAUAAGUCGUGCACAGAUUAAACAGAGCAACAAGGAAAAGGUGUGAGAGGAUGAGAGUGGAACAGUGUGUAAUGACGUGUGGCUUGUAAAUGCUUAUUACUGAACACCCGAGAAACAUGGGCUGGAAGGAGAGGGGGACGGCCGAAGGGAAAACAAGGUUGACAGUUGUGUUGUAAGCAGUCCUGACAUAAAAUAAUAACAUUUAAGGCGGCAAAUGGGGAAGUAGAGAAGUAAGCCUCUAUAUGACUCCAAAUCUAAGCACUAUAAAAUAACGCGUGAUUAGAAUUGGAUGGUGGAGAAAAUGGAGGAAACAAGAGAAGCUGAGAAGAAAUAGAAAAAAAUUCUCAAAAGGAGGUAUCCCUUAAACUGUCACCAGGACCUGGUUUUAAAACUGCCCGUUUGUAUAGAAUCUACUUGGUGCUGUUUAAACUAUUAUAACUCAGUAACAAAAGCGUAAGAAUAUGUCCAAAUUUAUUUUAUGAAGUGGGUACAAUAGCAAUAUCAAAACAAUGAAAGCUAAAAAAAAGUGCAGACCAGUUUCACUAUUAAAUACUGAUACAGUUAUAUUAUAUGAAAUAGAAGCAAAGAAUAUUUAGCAGUAUAGGGUUGUGGGGUAUCUUCCAGAGAAGACUGCUUGGACAUGGAUUUAAGUCAAUAAAAAGUCUUUAUUAGCCAGCCAGUGACUACAUUGGGUGUUCAGGAUCCCAGUGUAGCACUGAGCCUUUUUUAGGGUGAGCUUUUGAGCACAAAACCAUGUUCUGGGUUGAUAUUCUUCAGUUGAGAAGAACAGUUAGCCAGAAAUGGAGCAGCAGAAGUAAAAAAACCAGGUCAGUACAUCUAGAGACUUUCCCAGAACUACAGACCUUGAAGGAAUUAGGUCUUUGUUUUCUAUUUCGGCUGGUGGUGCUGUCUACGUGUUGUGUCUUAUGGCCUGAGUAGUCCUUCCAUCAUGGAGUCAGUUGUGCUAAGGUCUGGGGCCCUGUUACUUAGUAAAAGAAUAGCAUCAUAACCAAAUAUGUUUUAUUACCCAAAGAUGUUCUGAUAUUCGUAGUAUAAAUUUAAGAUGACAUGUAAAAUUUUAUAUAGAUUUCAGGAGAUAACUUACACCAUGUCUAUAGACACUGAAAGAGCAUUUGACAAAAUCCAAUCUCCAUUUUUAAGAGAUCAGAAAGGGGGGAAUUGAUGCAUUAACUAUACAUUGCAUCUGUGUGUAGAGAUGUAUAUGUACAGAUAUUUAUACAUGUAUUCACAGAUAAGCAUACGUUUGUGUGUCACAAUCACCCAAAUACAAUUUUACAAAAUCAGUAAAUUUUCUCACUAACGUCAGGAACAAAAUUAUAAUGAUACUCAUUUUCACCACUGUCACUUAGCAUUGGAAGCAAUAGCUAGAACAACGAGAUAAGACAAACUAAAAGAUUUAAAAUUGUAAGACUAGCCGGGCGGUGGUGGCGCACGCCUUUAAUCCCAGCACUCGGGAGGCAGAGGCAGGCGGAUCUCUGUGAGUUCGAGGCCAGCCUGGACUACCAAGUGAGUUCCAGGACAGGCGCAAAGCUACACAGAGAAACCCUGUCUCGAAAAACCAAAAAAAAAAAGAAAAAAUUGUAAGACUAGGAACAGAGAAGACAAGCAACGAUUUGAGUACCUAGAAAGUUCUUGGCGAGGGAGACGGCUCAGUAAGUAAAAUGCUCGCCCUUCUAGCAUAAGGACCUGAGUUAGAUUUCCUUAACUCAUUCGGAAAAGCCUGGAGGGCAUGGUCACAAGCAAGUGGGGGUGGGGACUAGGGAAGCAGGAGGUAGGAGGAAGCCUGGUUUGCUGGCUAACCAGCUUAGCUUACUUGGUGAGUUCCAUUCUAGGCCAGUGAGAAACCUUGUCCCACUUCUCGGCCUCCCUCCCCACAAAGAAAAGGAAAGACAGAAAAAAGAAAGGGAGGGAGGAAGGAACGAAGGAAGGAAGGAAGGAAGGAAGGAAGGAAGGAAGGAAGAAGGUAGGUCCUGAGGAAUAACACCCAAAAUUGUUUUCUGAUCACCACAGGUAUGUAUAUACACACAUCUACACACAGAGAAAUGCACACACAUCUUCAUACACAGAAACACACACACAGACACACACUCACUGGAAACUGGAAAAUUCCAAAAUAAUCUAUUGAAAAAUAAUUAGAAAUCUCAGAAAGGUAUUAGAAUAUGAAAUUAAUAUGCACAAAUAAAUCACUUAAGCCAACUAAAUAGAAGGUGGAUAUGAAGACUAGAUCCUUUUCACAAUAGUGGUAGAGAGAUAAAUGUUAACAAAUUAUUAGAAUGUGUUUUUGUAGCUUAUAGGGGAGUCCAGUGAGUUAGGAAACUCAGAGAUUUGUCAUUCGUCAGAAAGAUGGUUAAAUCUUAUGAAUCUGGUACAUCUUUCCUUGCACACACACACAGAAACAGCACUGGUUGUUCAGUACAUUCCCUUCUCUCAAGGCUGGGGCCACAUGCAGGCAGUUUGGCUCCAUCGUGAGCAGCUAAUGGAGAAACAUGAAACUUAAGAGAUGCUGGCUAUACCCUCUCUGCUCCAUUUGCUUGUACCAGAGGCAAAUGAUGAUAUGCAGGAUCUUAAAUGGAGUGAUCAUUGCACUGCAGUUCAGGCCAAAUUCGCCAGACUGUAACACCCCCCCCCCCACACACACACACACCCGUGCUUGUGCACCGAGAAGGAAGCCUGACAGUUCAGUGCACACUGCAUGAUGUGUAAUCCAUUUGCUGAGAGGAGGUGCAGCCCAGUGCCCUGCCCCUCUCUGCGUGGCCCAGGCCAUCCCAUGUGCACAACAGUCUGGCUCCAGGUGUGUUGAUAUACUUCAGUACCUUCUACAAUCAGGAUCACCCUCUGGGUACGUCUUGAUGCCCAAGGUCCUGUAGUCUGAACUUUAAGACCCAAGGUGAGCAGAGAAGCUUGCUCCACCCAGGAGCGUAAGUGUUGCCUCAUUCAGCUUCUCUGGUCCCGUAUCACCCUCUCCCUAUUUAUUUCUAAGGAAAUGAUAGUCUGAGAAUAUUCUUGGAGAAUUUACUACAAAUGAUCAUAACAGAACAUCCAGAUUAUUUUCAAAGCAGUAUUUACCGUUAAAUUAUAUCAUCAGUGAGUUAAUUGUAACACUGUAGUAAAAGCCUUUCCAAAUCUGGUAUGCUUAGAAGCAUGCACAGGACUUUCUAAAAAUAUUUUUGUUUUUUUUUGCAGGCUGCAUCCCCAGACAUAAGUCCAGUUCACGCUCACAUGUUUGAAGCUGGUACAAUAAAAGUAUUUUUAGUAGUUCUAUCUUCUGGCUCUUCUAUGAGCAAUAAUUAGACUUAUCACACACCCUCAUCCACAUGGAAAGCAGGUAUGGUACAGUAGAAAUGUAGAGCUGAAAAAAGAACCUUCCUUUUAAGGGAAGAAAUCUGUAGACACCGUACUCUGCCACGGGAUCCCAGGGAACAUUGUAGGUCUUUGGAGAUUCAGUUUCUAAAGCACCACUCCUUAAGAUUUUCGUAACAAAUAUACUCCUUUUGUUGUUUUCCCAGGGACAAAUGAAGAAGCGACGUAUGACUUUGAUAUCUUGGGCAUCAUUGAGUCACUUAAGGUGUUUUGCCUGCAUGUAUGUCUGUGGACCGUGCGUGUGCAGUGUGCAAGUGGUCCAGAAGAGGGUGUUGGACCUCCUGGGACGACAGUUACACACGGCUCUGAGCUGCCAUAUUUAAAAAAUAAUUCUGCUCAAAGGCCCCUGGUUCCUGUGUCUGAAGUUCAUGGUGUCUUCAGCAACAGCGACUUAACCUUCCGUGUCUCGGGGCAGGGAGGGCGGCAACCCAGGGCUAUAGCAACAGACUGAUGUUUGGGGAGUCUCUUGGAGAACUUUGACUUACAACUCAAAAUAAUAUUUCUCAUGCAUGUUGUUAAGGUUUUUUUUUUUUUUAGAUUGUCAAAUAAAUUAGACAAUUUUCAAAAGACACGCAAUAGGAAAUAAAUGCAUGAAAAAAUGUUUAACAUCUUUAGGCACCAGAAAAUCAAAUCUACAUUGCAAUUCCAUCUGUCCCAGGUUAGAGUAGCUAUAUUUAGGAAAACAAACAAUAACAAAUACUUAUGAGGCUAUGGCACAGGAUGGGCAUGGGGGUGACAUGGGGGAGAUAUAGUGGUGUGGUGGUUGGGAGUAGGAAGCAGGAGAGUGGAGGAUGGAACAGAAUUUUCCACACUUUCCACAUUGCUGGUGGCAAUGUAGUUAGAGAAGCUACCACAGAAAUUAGUAUGAAGGCUCCUCAAAAACUAAAAAUGGAACUAUAAUAUGAUCCAGAUCCAAUACUUCUAGGUAUAUAAACAAAGAAAUGAGCAUUAUCACAUAAUAAAGAUGCUUGAAUAUC